RNAcentral lists this ribosomal RNA (253 nucleotides) under uncultured bacterium. Its description in RNAcentral is "partial 16S ribosomal RNA". It matches the Rfam family "Bacterial small subunit ribosomal RNA", at positions 524 to 776 of the family's 1533-position model. The record is from RNAcentral.
UACGUAGGUGACAAGCGUUGUCCGGAUUUACUGGGCGUAAAGAGCGCGCAGGCGGUCGAUCAAGUCGAGUGUGAAAGCCCCCGGCUCAACUGGGGAGGGUCAUUCGAUACUGAUCGACUCGAAGGCAGGAGAGGGUAGUGGAAUUCCCGGUGUAGUGGUGAAAUGCGUAGAUAUCAGGAAGAACACCAAUGGCGAAGGCAGCUCUCUGGGACGGUACUGACGCUGAGACGCGAAAGCGUGGGGAGCGAACAGG